CAAGUACUCUCUUCGUUUGAAAAUACUUGUCGUAAAAAUGUAUAAAAAUGAAUGUAUUUAAAAUUAAAAUAUGCCUAGAUACAUCCAUUCCUCCGACAAAUAUUUUCAGACGGAGGAAGUACGUG
Molecule: non-coding RNA, 125 nt
Organism: Triticum aestivum (bread wheat)
Lineage: Eukaryota; Viridiplantae; Streptophyta; Magnoliopsida; Poales; Poaceae
Source: Rfam